UUGGCUUUUUGUCAGUUAAGAAUCAUUGAAUUUACUAGAGGGGCUCAGAGUUGCAUGUUGACCAUUAAAUUGGCUUGAAUUUGUUAAUCAUGACAAGUUUUUUCUUGUGUGUUUGCUUGCCAUUUUAGUACAAUUUUUAAGUCAGAAAACCCCAGAACCCAGGAGCUUCGGGGGGCUUCGCCCCACCAGGGCGCCGCACUGGACCAGCUGGGGGCCGCCCGGCUAAAAUUUUCAGAUAAUUUCACCAGCCCCAAAUCACAUCCCUGAAACUGAAUUCUCAUAUCACUCUAGUGAUGUAAAUCAAAACUGUGAGGAACGCCUUAACAUUUAAUGAGCCCGUGACAUUAUUUCACUCACCAAAUGGCCAGUAACGAGACUGAGCUGUGUUCUCCAACGUGUGCGUAUGUUAUUCACUGAAAGAUUCUCAUUUCACUCUGCACAUGAUGGGCAAGAUUGGAGACCCAUGGACUAAUGACUCUUUCAAGACUUUCGUACCUGUGGAUAUACUUGCUUUUUGUUUUUAUUGUACUGUAUAUAAGAUAUAUGACUGCACAUGAUAAAUGGAAAUAAAAAGAAGUUCCAAAAAAAA
Long non-coding RNA from Neoarius graeffei (lesser salmon catfish), 589 nucleotides. RefSeq lists it as uncharacterized. The record is from RefSeq and is a predicted model, not a curated record. Lineage: Eukaryota; Metazoa; Chordata; Actinopteri; Siluriformes; Ariidae. The transcript is spliced from 4 exons.